GGGACUUACAUGUGAAACAAGCCUGUUCCCUAACUUGAAUUAAUAAUAAUAAUAAUAAUAAUAAUAAUAAUAAUAAUAAAAAGAGAAAAAAACAAAAUUAAAUUAAAUUAAAUUAAAUUAAAAGUGGGAUAAAUUAGGGGGAUAGUAACUACUUGGAAGGAUAAUCUAAAUAAGGUGAACACACUGGCUGUGGCUCUCCCCAGGGACAGACUUAGGGUAUCAGAUCCCUGAAGCUGACAGUAGAGUAGAGCAGCUUGCAUAAGUGACCCAUCAGUGAGCAGAAAAGUUAAGGACAUCACAGACUAGCAGAAUACUGAGUAGUUGGACAAGUAUUACUCUGAAGCAUUCCUGUUCAUUCUCUCCAUAAAAAUGACACUGCUCAAAUGCCUUUAGUGUGAGGACAGAAUUUAAUAUGCUUAAUUGUUAUAAAAAGGGUGAUCAGAUGGUAUUCCUGCCAUUUUGUUAUUUUUCUUUCCCAUGGAUGUUUAUUUUCCAAUAAACAUGCACUUGAAUGCUUAAAAGACAUAACACAUUUUAAAGACAGGUUUAGCAAUUGAGAAAACAGUCCAUUAAUGACUUACAGAUGACUCAAGAGCUUUGAAACCUCAUCAGAGCUUCAUUGGAUUUAUGAGUACAUUAAAUACUUAAAAAUGAAGAAAUAUUGCAAACUUUAAAUUAAAGCAUAAAUAAUAUAAAACAGAUGUUUGUCCUAGUGUGGCCCUCAUAACAUGGACCUCUGUGUCCGUCAGCUUUGCAUUACUGUUACAAAAUACCUAAGGGAAGCAAUGCAAAGAGGGAAGUUUACUUUGGCACAGGUUUAAGGAAUUCAGUCAAUGAUCCUUGGCACUGUUGCUUUUGUGCUUGUGGCAAAGCAACACAUCAUGCUUGGAAUGGCUAGGGUAUCAAAAAGAGAGUAGAAAUGAUCAGACCUCCCUCAUCCACCAUUAGGGCAUGACUUUAGUGACCUUUAACCUUCCAUUAACUACUAUCUCUACUUUUUCACCACUUCCUUACAUCGCUAUUGGUUGGAGACUGAUCCUUGAACUUGUGAGUCUUCAAGAUAUUCUUAUCUAGUCCAUCAGAACCCCAAAUAAUAAACUCAUUAUUGAGUAUGAAACUAAUGGUGGCUGAGUCCUUAAAUAAUACAGCAUCAUGAUUUCCCUGAAUUCGACCAGAAUGGUUAACUAGCUGAGUUAGUAGUUAUGUGUGGUACUCAUCUCUUCAUCUGGGGAAAUAUUUGGGCAUAAACUAUAAAAAAGAAAAGAAGAUGUGGAAUGGCAGUAAAGUUUCAAUAUAUGAUAUAGAAAAUUAAAUAACCCCCAAAUAGCAAAGUUUUUGAUGUCAGAAAUUCAGGGAAUCUCAAUUGCCAAAGAAGAGUCCUUUUUAUAAAAUUUAACAGUUUUAUGUGAAACCCAACUCUUAAGCAACAUUUUAUAAUGCCAAAUCCAAAUUUUUCUACAAUUUUAGAAUUUGACCCUGUUGUUCAUGAUAAGUAAAUUACAUAAUAUUCUGUUUAUAAAUAAAUCUCUACAAGGGCUGUCUAUUAUAAUAACAUAAUUUUGUUUUAAAGGAUUUUUCCAGUUUGUGUGGGGGACUCAAUCAAAAGAUCCAUAGUUCGUGAAUAUAUGUUAUUAAAAACUGUCUAUGUGAUUCUUUUCACAUAGAAAUCUGAAAAGCAAUGAUUUAUGUUCUGAAUCAUCAAGAAACAUUUGUAAUGGUAUUGUUUAUUUAGUAGUAUUGCUAUUUAUUUGAUGUCAUACACCAUAUACAAUAUAGGAAAUAGAAGGCAGCUAUGCUCACCACUGUACCAUCACUGCAGGCAUAUAAUACAGGAAAUGGAGCUGGGUCAAUGUAUCAGUCUAGAAUCAGAGUGUAUGAGAGCUAUACAUCUCAUUUUGGUAAGAUAACGGGAGAAAGCAAAGCUGGAAAAUCAUCAGUUUAUUGAGAUAAGAAAAGAAGAGAGAGAUUCUGGUGUAGAUGGAAGAAUACUAGAGGCAGUGGCUUGUGCAGCCACUGCUGGGUGCAGAUAGGAUUACACAAAAAUGCUAAGAGAAAAGCCUUACCUUUGAAGCUAGCUUCUUCAAGCAGGAUUCCUGAUCCUAAAUUUGUGCCAUGGACCAGUGGUGGGAGGCCCUCACUUCCUGAGGUCAAAGUGUGUAUGACCCCAUGCCCCAAGGUUCCCAGAGGAAGAGGGAAACCUACUGCCACAGCCUGCCCUGUGGGGCCCCUGAGCCCCUGAGCCGCAGCAGAGCAGCUUGCAUAUGCUAGCGCCAUCCUGGCGCUCUUGGGGUUUCUCUUGGCACUCCCGAGAUGAUAAAGACAGAUCCAGUUAAAGAAAAACCUCUAAAGGUUUACACUACAUUUAAAAAUAUAUGUAGGCUUGUGAGAGAAAAAGUAACAGGAGGAAAUAGAGUAGCCGGUUGUGGUGGUGCACGCCUGUAGGAUUUGCUGAAGGAAGCAGAGGCAGGCGGAUUUCCACAGAGAAACCCUAUCUCGGGGAAAAAAGAAACAAAAGAAAGUAAAAAUAAAGUAAUAAAAAAGCCACAUAAAGACGGAAAAUACACAGAGAAUCUGGAUACUAUAUGUCAUAUUGUUGUCUUUAAAUUGUUUGAUUUCCGAGGAAAGAAUUACUGCUGCUAAAAUACAUUUGAUUAUAAAUGCUGCUAAAUCAAUCCAACUUAACAUUUUAAAAAUACUUUGACUUCAAAAUUUAAGUCUAAGGACAGGCUACUUGGAAAAAGAAUUUCUAUUUGUGUUUCUACAGAAAAUAAAAAGUUAUGGAUUCCUUCCAGACGAAUAUGGUUUGAUCAAGCAAGACCCCCUGAAGCUGAGCUGAUAAAGCCUUACAGCUACAAAAACAAGGACUUGGCCAGAUUUCUAUGUUUUAUCAUGAUUCCAAUGGUAUGAACAUCGCCCCCAAUCAGCAGGAAGCAGUUUAGAAAGAACAAUGCCCAAAUCCCCAAAUAUUGUUUAUAAAUGUUUGUUUUCAUUUAAAUGGGGUUGGUUAUAAAUGAUAACCAGCAUAGUCAUUUUUUUAAGAAAAAAAUAGGGGGAAUAGGAUAUAGGAAUGAAUACUUCACAUUGGUAUAGAUUUUCACUUAUUGAUACAACUUUAAAAUCAAUUUUGUGAUAUGUAUAUGUCUCCUCUUGUUUAGGUAUUGUGUUUAUACAGAUCUUUUAAAAUGAUAUACAUAACUGAAUAAGGUUAUAUAAUCACCUAUGAUAGUCAGAACUUAUAAUUAGAUUAGUUAGGUCUUCUAGAUAUACAGAAAUGUAUUUGAGGUGGUUAGGUAUUCUUCAAACCUUUCAAAGACCUACAGAAAUAUGGCAUUUAAAUGGUUUAGGGUUUAUCUUGGCAGUGAGACACAACUGCUCCUGGCACACCAAUUAUGUCAGAAAGGAGGAUGGCCAUCGAAGAAACUCGUUAUGGAGUUUGCUUUCAACAUGGCAAGAUUAGCCAUUUGGGCAAGAAACUGCUCUUGUCUGGACUGUUUGUUGCUGUAUAAACUGGACAUACAGGACCCACAAGAAAGGGACUGCUGAACUUACAAAACAAGACAGUACUGAAGGGUUCCUGUUGAAAUGGAGAAGUGUGCCAGACACUGUGGCCUAAAGACUGAAGAUGGAUGCCCCAACGUUACAGAGGAACUUGGGUGACUGUCCAGCUUCCUUUCCACAGGAAGAAUGAUGUGAUCGAAGGCAAGAAAAAGAAUGUGUG
This 3718-nucleotide long non-coding RNA is filed under the name Cricetulus griseus (Chinese hamster). Its description in RNAcentral is "lncRNA (ENSCGRG00015038195.1)". Lineage: Eukaryota; Metazoa; Chordata; Mammalia; Rodentia; Cricetidae. The record is from RNAcentral.